This is an RNA transcript of Gossypium raimondii (Peruvian cotton), 6667 nucleotides long. It is a transcript of the gene named chromatin modification-related protein EAF1 B, with no coding region annotated. The record is from RefSeq and is a predicted model, not a curated record. The transcript has 23 exons. NCBI's taxonomy places the organism in Eukaryota, Viridiplantae, Streptophyta, Magnoliopsida, Malvales, Malvaceae.
GGUAAAAUAGCCUAAUUUUUGUUUUAGAAACCCUAGAAUUUUGAGUAAUGUUUCAAACUAGAGCUUCACUUCCGUGAUUCAAUGCGUUUAGGGUUUCUAUUUACGCAUUUCGAUUGAAUGCUUAUGGAUUUACGUGGUAUUCACAGAUAUCAUCUUUUUUGCGUCGAUGGGAGGGGCUGUAGAUAUUUAGGUAGGAAUGCAUGGAUGUAGCUCAGGAUCUGCGCUCUUAGUAAAUGCUGAGGUUGAUUUCAUGGGAAGGGUUGUUGAUGGUGGAGUUGGGAUUGGUGUCAAAACCUCUCCACGCAGAUCAGCCAUUGAGCAGGCUCAAGCAGAACUGAGGCAGGAGUAUGAUGUUCGUGAGGAAAGGAGAAGGGAACUAGAUUUUCUUGAGAAAGGUGGAAAUCCCUUGGAUUUUAAAUAUGGCAAUGCAGCUUCAGUUAGUGUCCAAUCUACUUCUCUCACUGAUCAGCAUGCACAACUUUUUGUUACCAGUGAAGCAAAAGGUAGUUUUGCACAGUCUGCUUCAGCUUAUGGCGAUUCAGUAGAGAGUAGUGGUAGACCAGGGGUUCCUGCAGCUUGUGAACCCAAUAGUGCUGACAAUCUCUUACUUUUUGAUGGUGAAAAUGAGUUGCCUGAAGGUGAAAGGAAGUCUAUGCAUUCUCGUAAGAGGAACACUGUUGUUCCAUCAGAGCAAUCUUCACAUAUGGAAGGGACUCAAAAUGUUAAGGAGUCUGAAGAUUCGACUAUUUUUCGCCCAUAUGCUCGAAGGUACAGGUCCAAAAUCAAACGAGAGGGUGGCCGAUCAAGUUCAACAGAUAUUGUCCAGGGUCGAGCUGGUCAUGGCUCUUCUUUACCUGCUCGUGGAGCAUCAAAGGAUGUGAAGGCUUCAACGUCUGAACCAAAUAACCAAAAGGACAAAAACAUUUCCUCUGUUACUACCGCAAAAUCUGCUACUUCUAAUGGUGAUUUGGCUUCAAAUGUAAUAACUUCUGAUGAUCAGUUAAAUAUGGAGUUGGAUGGUGGGAAGCCUGUGGAAGAAACGACUGGUCAUUCAAAGGGUGAUCAAUUUGAAAGAAAGGUUGAUGUCAUAGCUUCCAAAACAUUGAUAGAUGACCUGCCUAAGGAACCUGCUAUGAUGGAAGCUCAUAAAUCUCCAGUUAGUUUGGCUUUUGAGGAACCUAAUCUUGUUGUAGGGAAGGAGCAGGUAGUUUCAGCAAGUCUUGAACGCUCACCUGGUACUGGUGCAACAAAACCUGAAAAUGAAACUAGUUCUCAUCAGCUAAAUGGGGUUGCUGAUGCUAAAAUAGAUAGGAAAAACAUAUCAAAUGAAGAGCAAAAUAGCAGUGUGGCAAUAGGGACAAAGGGCUUGGAUAUGGAGUCAUCUUCUACUAAAAACAGCUUAAGCUUAGAUGUAAAUAACGAUAAUGAAGCGUGUAUUAACCCCAAAAAUGUUGAUUCUAAUGUAAAUCCCUUGGAACACACAUCAGAAAAAGAAGAGUCACCAGCCUUAGCUGUCGGUGAAUCAGCAAAAGAAAAGAAUGAGAUCAAGGUUCUUGAUAAUGCUGCUGUCAUUUGUGAUGCUAAUAAUUCCAUGAAUCAGAACCACUCACUUAAUGAUUCUACUGUCAAAGUGGAGGAAGUAAGAUCUGAAUUGCAAAUUGAGAUAAGCUGUCCUUCCAACAAUGAGGUGAUACAAAGCAAUGAUGCUGAAUCAGAAGCUGAUAGGAAAGUUAGUACUGUGCAGGGUGAUAAUUCUAACUCCAACAUAGAAAAAGCUUGUGCUAGUAGGCCCCAAGGCACAAUGGAUAACUUUAUGUGUGAGAUUCCUGAGAUGACUUUCUCAGGAAUAACCUGUACUGAUAAUGCUGAUACACAAACUAGUUUGGAAAAUCAUGUGGAAGUGGUGGACAAGGCACGUGAAGAUUCCAUUUUGGAAGAGGCACGGAUUAUAGAGGCUAAGCGGAAAAGGAUUGCAGAGCUGUCUGUUGGUACCUUACCUUUGGAGAACAGCCGGAAAUCUCACUGGGACUUUGUCCUUGAGGAAAUGGCAUGGUUAGCAAAUGAUUUUGCUCAGGAGCGUCUUUGGAAGAUGACUGCUGCUGCUCAAAUAUGCAGACGUGUUGCUUUUACUUCACAAUUUAAAUUUGAAGAACAAUGUCGAUAUUGGAAACUCAAAAAAAUAGCUUUAACCCUUGCUAAUGCUGUCAUGGACUUUUGGCAUUCGGCAGAGGUUCUUCUAACUAGUAAGGAUGCAAAUCUUGGUCUAAAAACCUGUGGCCAUGACUUGAAGGGGUCAAGGGCCAAUAAAGUUACUGAGAUCACAACUACCGAACUAGAUAUGGCUGCAAAGGAGUGCCAGCAGCACACUGGAAAGAACAAUGGAUUUGCUAUCCGGGCAUAUGCUCUUAGAUAUUUGAAAUAUAAUAGUUCCCCUGUUCCAUCACUCCUAGCUGAAGCACCAGCAACUCCUGACAGGAUAUCUGACUUGGGCAUUAUGGACAUUUCUUGGGAUGAACACCUAACAGAAGAAAACCUGUUCUAUGCAGUUCAUUCUGGAGCUAUGGAAACCUACCGAAGAUCUAUUGAAUCUUAUAUGGUACAGACUGAGAAAACUGGAAGUACUGUGCAAGAGGAGGUUGAAACAUCUGCUUAUGAUGCUAGAGCAGAGUUUGGAUAUGAUGACUCUGUGUAUGAUGAGGAUGAAGGAGAAACAAGUACAUAUUAUUUGCCUGGAGCCUUUGAGGGGAGACAAUCAUCAAAAUUAAACCAUAAGAAGCGAAAGAACCCAAUGAAAUCAUAUCCUGCAACACAAUAUAAAGUGGGUGCUGAUUUGCCAUACGGAAAUUGCGGCCAACCAUCCAUUUUCAUGGGAAAAAGGCCUGCCAGUAGUCUAAAUGAUGGUUUAGUUCCUGCGAAACGUGUGCGCACUGGCUCCAGGCAGAGGGUUAUAAGUCCAUUUAGCAGUGCAGCAGCUGCCAGGGAUUCACAGGCUCCAACACAAACUGAUGCUUCUAGUGGAGAUACUAAUUCUUUUCAGGAUGAACAGAAUACAUUGCAUGGAGGAUUACGGACCCAAAACAGCUUGGAGGUUGAUUCAAUUGGGGACUUUGAAAGGCAGCAACCAUAUGAUUGUGCAGGAACACCAACAAAACCUAAAAAGAAGAAAAAGGCCAAAAAUCUUGGUUUGGCAUACAAUCAGGGUUGGCAGCUGGAGUCUCCUGUUCACAGUGAACAGAGGGAUUAUUUGAAAAAGAGACCAGAGAGUCAUCAUUUUGAUUCUAAUGGAACCAGUGGUUUAUAUGGACAACAUAAUGCCAAGAAGUUGAAGAUAAUGAAGCAUCAGCCUGAUAGUGCUUAUGACAUCACUCCAAAUGGAUCCAUCCCUUCACCAGUAGGGUCCCAAAUGAGUAAUAUGCCCAACCCAAGCAAAAUCAUUAGAUUAAUUCAUGGUAGUGACAAGGGCAGAAAAGUCAAAACGCCUAAGAUGUCUACUGGUCAGCUUGCUUCUGGUAGUCCAUGGUCACUACUUGAAGAUCAGGCACUUGUUGUCCUUGUACAUGACAUGGGUCCAAAUUGGCAGCUUGUAAGUGAUGCCAUCAACAGUACCCUUCAGUUUAAGUGCAUAUUCCGCAAGCCUAACGAAUGUAAGGAACGCCACAAAAUUUUAAUGGAUAGGAGUGGAGAUGGAGCUGACAGUGCUGAUGAUUCAGGGUCCUCACAGCCAUAUCCAUCGACAUUGCCUGGCAUUCCGAAGGGAAGUGCCAGACAGUUGUUUCAACGUUUGCAAGGGCCGAUGGAAGAGGAUACUUUGAAGUCUCAUUUUGAGAAAAUUAUACUAAUUAGCAAGAAGCAGAACUAUUGGCGGAGUCAGGAUUUGAAGCAGAUAGUUCCGGUCCAUAAUUCUCAUGUAGCUCUUUCACAAGUCUGCUCAAAUAACUUAAAUGGAGGGGUUUUAACGCCUCUAGAUCUUUGUGAUGCCACUGCAUCAAGCCAAGAUGUUCUACCCUUUGGAUGUCAGGCUUCUUAUGUUAGUGGUUUAGCAAUGUUGAAUCAAGGAGAUGUGGGAUCAAGGCUUCCUGCCUCUGGAGGAAAUUCCUCACUGCAGGGAUCUUCUAGCAUGGUUCUUGGAAAUAAUUUAUCAUCACCAUCUGCCCCACUCAAUGCAGCUGUGAGGGAUUGUAGAUAUGGUGUUCCUAGAACAUCUUUACCAGCUGAUGAGCAGCAUAGAAUCCAACAAUAUAAUCAAAUGUUAUCUGGCAGGAAUGUUCAGCAGUCCAACUUAUCUCUCGCCGGGUCUGUUUCUGGAUCAGAACGUGGUCGUAUGCUACCUGCUGCAAAUGGUGUGGGCAUGAUGUGUGGGGUAAAUAGAAGCAUGCCAAUGUCAAGGCCGGGCUUCCAAGGAAUGGCAUCAUCAGCAAUGCUGAAUUCUGGCAGCAUGCUGUCCUCCAAUAUGGGGGGAAUGCCAAGCCCUGUCAAUAUGCCCUCUGGGCCAGGUUCUGGUCGAGCCAAUUCAAUGUUAAGACCUCAUGACACCACACACCUGAUGCGAUCUGGCCCCAAUCCAGAGCAUCAAAUGCAAAUGGCACCUGAGCUCCAAAUGCAGGCUCAAGGGAACGGCCAGGGAAUUCCUGCUUUCAAUGGGUUGACUUCUGCUUACCCUAAUCAUCCUCAGCAGCAGCAGCAAACGCCUCCACAGCAGUCUCGUGCACCGAGUAAAUCUCAUCAUGCGGAUCUUCAGGGUUCUAAUCAUGCUACUGGGUCACAACAGCAAGUGUAUGCCAUGCGCUUAGCUAAAGAAAGGCAAAUGCAGCCGCAGCAGCUUCAUGUGCAUCAGCAACAACAGCAGCCACUGCAACCGUUUGCUGCAUCCAGCACUUUGAUGCCACAGGUUCAACCUCAGGCCCAACUUCCUAUCUCUUCUCUUCAGACUAGUUCCCAGAUUCAAUCUCAAGCUUCAAAUCAGCCAGUAUCACUCCCGUUGACACCAUCUUCACCAAUGCCUCCUACUUCAAUUCAGCGGCAACAGAAACACCAGUUGUCCCCUCAUGGGCUUGGUAGAAAUCCCCAACCUGGUGCUAGUGGGUUGAACAAUCAGGUAGGCAAGCAACGGCAGCGGCAGUCAUUGCAGCAGCAGUUUCAACAGUCUAGCAGGCACCAUCCUCAGCAACAUCAACAAACGCAGUCUCAACAGCAAUCUAAACUUUUGAAGGGAGGGGGAAGAGGACUGAUGCAUCAGAACGUUUCUGCUGACCAUGCUCGUCUGAAUGGCGUUAGCAUGGCCCCUGGCAACCAAGGUUCCAAGAAAGGAGAGCAUAUGAUACAAAGUCAAGGCUUGUAUUCUGGGCCAGGAGUGAGCCCUGUCCAACCAUCUAAGCCUGUAGUUUCUUCUCAACCUUUGACCCAUUCCCAGCCGCAGCAAAAGGUAAUGCCUGGGGCAGCAGCGCUUUCUACAAAGCAACUCCAGCAGAUGGCUUCCCAUUCCGAUAAUAGUUCUCAAGGCCAGGUUUCCACAGUGCCUUCUGGUCGUACACUAUCAGCUGUGCAUCAACCUGUGCUGCCAGGAGCUAUGGGUUCACACCACCAGCACUUGCAGCUGCAAUCACAGCUGCACCAAAAGCAGGCUAAUCAAAACCAACCGAGCGUUCAAAAGAUGCUUCAACAGAAUCGACAAACAAAUUCUGAUCCUUCCAGCAAAUCUCAAGCUGAGCCAGCUCAAGCUGACCAACAGCCUAGGAAUAAUGCCUCACAGAUGGGUACAACCACAACAUCGGCAAUGCAUCAGGCUGGCCCUGAUUUAGUUAAUAACAUGGUACCGGUUGUUUCUCCUUCUGUUGGUGGUUCUCUGUGGAAAUCACCAGAAGCAGUGUAUGAUCCUGGUAUGCCAAAUGUGGCCACUCAAGUGGGAUCCAUAGGCAAUGCUCCUCUUACAACUUCAACUGGUAGUGAUCCAGGACCUUCUGUCAGCCAAGGGCUAGGGCAGAGACAAUUAUCUGGCGGCUUACCCCAUCUUGGAAGUAAUUCUGGGGCACAAUGGUCGCACCAGCCACAGAUACAACAAUCUUCCACUCCACCAUCAUCUCAACAACACUACCAGCCACCAGAGCAAUUACAACAAGAUCAGCAUAAUUCUCCCCCACAACAGCUGCCAUUGCAGCAGCAGCCACAACAGCAAACUAUGCAUCUGCAAGCAGCACAGGGCAGCUUGUAUCACAAGCAUUCUAAUUCUAAGUUUGAAUGAAUUAGUAUAGUUGAUGGAGCAGUGCUGACAGCAAUGGGUCCUGCUAGGGCUGGGUUUGCAUGCUCUUGUAACAGCAUUGUACAGAUGAAGCUGACUAUUUUAUUAGGGUAUUGCGUUGUGGAAAUAGGUCGCUGCCAUUUGCAGGUUAGAAAUUCACUGGAAAAAGGACUUAGUUUUUGUUUCUGCUUUCUUUUCGGAUUUUGAGGGAUUAUGUAUAUGGCUGCUUUAGAGCAUAGCGAAGAUGGAGACAGAUAUAGAGGCAUUUGUACAUAGGUCACAUCUCCAUUUUCUUUGUACUUUCUUCCUCUUUUUCCAUGUUCUUCAUAGAAGGGGCCUUAUUUCCUUUUGCCCGUUAGAUUAGUUCAUGUAUUAUUACCCUUUCAGAUCAAAGCAGUAGCAAUCAUUUUUAUGGGCAAAAGCCUUCAGAAA